This 253-nucleotide ribosomal RNA is filed under the name uncultured bacterium. RNAcentral describes it as "partial 16S ribosomal RNA". It matches the Rfam family "Bacterial small subunit ribosomal RNA", at positions 524 to 776 of the family's 1533-position model. The record is from RNAcentral.
GACGAACCGUGCGAACGUUAUUCGGAAUCACUGGGCUUAAAGGGCGCGUAGGCGGGCCGCCAAGUCAGAGGUGAAAGCCCCCAGCUCAACUGGGGAAGUGCCUUUGAUACUGGCGGUCUCGAGGGAGAUAGGGGCGUGCGGAACUUCCGGUGGAGCGGUGAAAUGCGUAGAUAUCGGAAGGAACACCGGUGGCGAAGGCAGCUCGCUGGGACGGUACUGACGCUGAGGCGCGAAAGCGUGGGGAGCAAACAGG